This is a long non-coding RNA of Sander lucioperca (pikeperch), 221 nucleotides long. RefSeq lists it as uncharacterized. The record is from RefSeq and is a predicted model, not a curated record. NCBI's taxonomy places the organism in Eukaryota, Metazoa, Chordata, Actinopteri, Perciformes, Percidae. The transcript has 2 exons.
AACACAGUCUCACGGCAGUUCGUGUAAAUGUCACGUUAUUCUUAAUCUAUUGAUACGUGUUCACAGAGACGUUUUUCUCGUUUUUUACGUGUAAAUGUCACGUUAUUUUUUCGGGGAAAGGACGUUGGGAGGACGCUCCAUAAGCCGGGAGGCGCCCGCGAGGCGGCCCGCAAGGCGGCCCGCUGGGGACGCGCCACAAUAACGGGGUGGCGGAGGUUGGG